UGGGGAAUAUUGCACAAUGGGCGCAAGCCUGAUGCAGCGACGCCGCGUGGGGGAUGACGGCCUUCGGGUUGUAAACUCCUUUCGCUAGGGACGAAGCUUUUUGUGACGGUACCUAGAUAAGAAGCACCGGCUAACUACGUGCCAGCAGCCGCGGUAAUACGUAGGGUGCGUGCGCUGUCCGGAAUUACUGGGCGUAAAGGGCUCGUAGGUGGUUUGUCGCGUCGUCUGUGGAGUUCCGGGGCUUAACUCCGGGCGUGCAGGCGAUACGUGCAUAACUUGAGUACUGGAGGGGUAAGUGGAAUUCCUGGUGUAGCGGUGUAAUGCGCAGAUAUCAGGAGGAGCACCGAUGGCGAAGGCAGGUUACUGGGCAGUUACUGUCGCUGAGGGGCGAAAGCAUGGGUAGCGAACAGG
This 411-nucleotide ribosomal RNA is filed under the name Actinomycetes bacterium. RNAcentral describes it as "Actinobacteria bacterium partial 16S ribosomal RNA". It matches the Rfam family "Bacterial small subunit ribosomal RNA", at positions 355 to 776 of the family's 1533-position model. The record is from RNAcentral. Lineage: Bacteria; Bacillati; Actinomycetota; Actinomycetes.